This 467-nucleotide ribosomal RNA is filed under the name uncultured bacterium. RNAcentral's name for it is "bacterial SSU rRNA". It matches the Rfam family "Bacterial small subunit ribosomal RNA", at positions 30 to 478 of the family's 1533-position model. The record is from RNAcentral.
AUUGAACGCUGGCGGCAGGCCUAACACAUGCAAGUCGAGCGGAAACGACUUAACUGAACCUUCGGGGAACGUUAAGGGCGUCGAGCGGCGGACGGGUGAGUAAUGCCUAGGAAAUUGCCUUGAUGUGGGGGAUAACCAUUGGAAACGAUGGCUAAUACCGCAUAAUGCCUACGGGCCAAAGAGGGGGACCUUCGGGCCUCUCGCGUCAAGAUAUGCCUAGGUGGGAUUAGCUAGUUGGUGAGGUAAGGGCUCACCAAGGCGACGAUCCCUAGCUGGUCUGAGAGGAUGAUCAGCCACACUGGAACUGAGACACGGUCCAGACUCCUACGGAGGCAGCAGUGGGGAAUAUUGCACAAUGGGCGCAAGCCUGAUGCAGCCAUGCCGCGUGUAUGAAGAAGGCCUUCGGGUUGUAAGUACUUUCAGCAGUGAGGAGGGAUGUACGUUAAUAGCGUGCUCUUUGACGUUAG